UAGGGAAUCUUCCGCAAUGGACGAAAGUCUGACGGAGCAACGCCGCGUGAGUGAAGAAGGUUUUCGGAUCGUAAAACUCUGUUGUCGGAGAAGAACAAGUAGGAGAGUAACUGUUCCUACCUUGACGGUACCAGACCAGAAAGCCACGGCUAACUACGUGCCAGCAGCCGCGGUAAUACGUAGGUGGCAAGCGUUGUCCGGAUUUAUUGGGCGUAAAGCGAGCGCAGGUGGUUUCUUAAGUCUGAUGUGAAAGCCCACGGCUCAACCGUGGAAGGUCAUUGGAAACUGGGGAACUUGAGUGCAGGAGAGGAGAGUGGAAUUCCUAGUGUAGCGAUGAAAUGCGUAGAUAUUAGGAGGAACACCAGUUGCGAAGGCGGCUCUCUGGACUGUAACUGACACUGAGGCACGAAAGCGUGGGGAGCAAACAGG
RNAcentral lists this ribosomal RNA (429 nucleotides) under uncultured prokaryote. RNAcentral describes it as "bacterial SSU rRNA". It matches the Rfam family "Bacterial small subunit ribosomal RNA", at positions 355 to 776 of the family's 1533-position model. The record is from RNAcentral.